Rattus norvegicus (Norway rat) is the source of this 4577-nucleotide long non-coding RNA. RefSeq lists it as uncharacterized. NCBI's taxonomy places the organism in Eukaryota, Metazoa, Chordata, Mammalia, Rodentia, Muridae. The record is from RefSeq and is a predicted model, not a curated record.
UUCCAGCCAGGUUUUCCUCUCUGACAUGUCUUUGUAUCAUUAUAGCUGUCACCUCUCCAUGUGUCAUCAUUCUGUAUCAUUAUGAAUGGGAUUAGCAUUCCUUAUACAACAUGACUGAGGUAGUCUAUCCAUUUCUUCUGUUUUGUCAAGGCACAACUAGAAAGAGUCUAUGUAUGAAGAACAGACUGUCACUAUAUACUGUUGGUGCUUGCAACUUGAUCUUGGGUUUCCUACAUUUGGAACUGAGGCCAGAAAUAUUAAACUCUUCAUUUGCAUGGAGACAUCUGAUUGUGAAAGGGUGCUAUUUGCAUGAAGAAUUGUCAGCAAUGGGAAGUCCCUAAUCUUUCUGUUUACUUGGUAGUAGGCUGAAGGGAAAGUUCUUACAUUAACUUUGACACCCAUGUAGCCCCCGUUUUAAGUACCAUGGUUCUGCUAAAUCCUUAACCUUUAUUUGCUCUUCACCCUUACACAUUAUUUCAUGAUUACUUAUUUCCAGAUUGAAUGGCCUUAUUUGGUUUUUCAACCAAGUAUUCCCAGAUCCAGGCCUUUGCUCUAAUAGAUUUUAGUGAAUGCUAUGGACAGUGAUUGUGUGUGUGUGUGUGUGUGUGUGUGUGUGUGUGUGUGCGCGCGCGCGCGCGCGCGUGCAUGUUAGUUACAGCAUAGAUCAGUAUAGCAAACAACUUCAAGUGAAAUAUUCAUAUACUUCAUGCUUAAAGCUCCUCGGCAUCUCUUUUCUACUUGGCACCAAAGAAUCUCCACCAGCUGCUACUUUAUCCAUAGUCAGCAUCUUGCUGUGUUUCUGGGAUCUCUCUCAAGACUUUUAGAGAGCUUUCUUUUUCCUCUCCAGUUUGUAGGCUUUUCCCACAUCCAACCUUAAAAUAUCCUGAGUAAUUUUUCUUAUUUUCCCAGCGUAAGAUGUGCAGCCAGCUCUCAGACCUUUGAUUAAUUAAGUCUGUUAUACUUAUCUGAGAAUAAGUUUAAACACUAUUAUACUGUUUCUGGGUUGAAAUCCUAGGGUCAAUAAUGUUUUUAUUGCUCAUCAGCCCACACAUUGGAUUUCAAAAGAUGCUAUCAUGUAUAUAUUUAGUAGGUAUUGUCUAAGUUAAUAAGUAACUAGUAGGCUCAAGGGUGCAGAGAUAAGGAAGUUAACAAGCAUGCGGACGAAUAUACAUGUUCAUUCAAAAUAAAACCCUAGAAUAACAUUUAAAAAUAAUUUUGAAAAAUAAUUAACAAACCUGACUCAUGUCCUACAGGGAAAUAAAUAUGUUAACUUUUGGGGUUAUUUCUACUCAAUAGAAAUCAUUUACAACUUGUCGGUUUUCUGAAAACUAAUAUCCAAUUUAGCAAAAUGUUUGAGUCAGUUAAAGGUUAAAUUUAGAAAGAAUAUUAGUUAAUUUCCUCAAGUGCACUGGCUGUAGAAGAGACCAGUAGUUCUGCCCACAUUCAGGCUGGGUCUUCUUUCAAAAAUUGUUCUAGAUGCACUUUCAUAGAUUUACCCAGAGCUGUGUUUCCACGGUGAUUCUAAACCUCAUGAAUCCUACUUCAUUAUGCAUUAGGUAUUACAUAAAUCAUAAAUUCCAAACAAUUAUAAAAUAAUUACACUAAUUAAGGAGGAUAUAAGCAUGAUGUUACAGAAUGUGCAAACAUGAAGGAAAAGAACACAAGCAUAUAGAUGGCAUAUAUAGACAACAAAGAAUAUUGAUGCAAAUUUAUUAAUAGAUACACAGCAGGUUGAUAUUAAAGAGGAAGAUCAAUAGUACCACCUGAACACAUUUAUUUGUAUUUGCAUGAACAAGCAUAUCUUGGAUUGUUAUUGGUCUUACAUAAUGCUCUGAGUUGUAAAACAGUUUAUAUCAGUGACAGGGAUAAAGAGCUUAGGAGAAAUUUCUAGAUAGUACAUCCAGAAAUCUUUCUUUGCCCGAGUCAGUCUUCUGCUAGUUUUUCUGGAAAGACUCUGAACAAUAGUAAGUAGUAUGAUAAUGGACAAUACCCUUCUCAUUACUCCCCUAGCCCCUGUGAGCAUCAGCUGUCCCUUACAGGGAGUUGAAUAUAUAAUGUUCUGCGAUAACUUUAAAAAGGAAUGCAAGAAUGAUUUUGCUUUUUGCCCGUGCUUUCAAUACUUCCUCUUAAGCAUAGUUCAUAUCAUAGAUGGAAUUCUUUUACUACAGGUCAUUAUGACCUGCAAGGCAGGCAGAGGGUAUUUGUCGUGUAAAUGGAAGGCUCCCAAUAUGAAGUUUCAGUAUCGCUGUCAGCAAAGGAUACCUAUUUCCCAAGUUCACUGGCUGUAGAAAGAACCAGAUUCCCUUUAGGGGCAACUCAUCACAGUAUUAUACCUUUCGCAGGACCAUAGACACUUGUCUUCUCUGACAUGGAACUAUAACUAUAUGUACUUCAAAAUUUUACCAUGUUUUCCCUAAUGUCUAAAGUUCCUAAGAGGACGAUAAAAGAACUAGGACACUCUGUUCAUCUUUUCUGCCUUAUUUGGUGGUCAUUUUGUAUAUGGCAGAAAACUCUAAGGUGGUUUUGGGUGUUAAAGAUAAAGGUAUUAUUUAUAAACGACUGCUUUAGUCCUUGUAGAUACUGAAUGAAGGCACUGGUCCCACAAGAUGCUUUCUGCCUCAGAGGAGGCUUCAAGGGGAUGAAACUUCCUGAGGCAGUGUGCUAAGUAGACAUGUAAGUCCUUGCUCAGUGUAGUAACAACUGACUUCCGAGGAGGCUCUGCCAAUGGAAGCCAACAUAGCAAACACUGUUACCUCUCUCCCUAUUUCUCAUCUUCCUUUGUCUUAACCAUAAAACAUUUCAAGAGAACAAGGGGGCAGAAUAAAGGCAGCGUUGGGUAGCUUUUUUGAGGGUGUGGACUGGUGCUAGAUUUGGGAGAGGUGACCUUUUGGUAACAGAUUUCCUUAGGGCAACCCUCUUCAAGCACAGCAUUAAUAAAAAGAAGGCUCAAAUUGGAGACCGCACCCAGUGUGCCCCAGAGGACAGCUACUGUUCUCGAAGUCCUGUUUGGCAAAUCCAGACAAUUUAUUUUCCCUGUGUCAGAGAUAGAUGGAAAUUCAGUUCUGGCACCAUACUCAGGGGUGCUGUGUCCUCUCUGUGCAUCUCUGUUUGCCAUCCUGAUAAGUUACUGGACUGUCUUCUCAUGUCCCAGCCUCUUCUCCUAAACAUCUACCUCAGAGUCCAUGCCCUUUGCUUAAUUUGUUCCAACCAUCAUAGACUACCUUCUUGCCACUUUCGAACUUAUCUGUCAAGUCUCCCACUUAUAAAGUUACUGAAGGCUACAAUAACAUCUUAAUGUUAUUAUAUCAGAUAUUGAUCUAGUAUUUUCUAAAUGAUGACACUACUCCAAGUGCUUUAUACACAUGAGUUCCAAGGUCCCCGUGGAAAACCUUCACGGUAGAGCUGCUCAGAUUGAGAGAUGUGGAGGACCUUUUCUCUGUGUAGUAGCAAACAUGGAUAGGAGAACAAAGCGGUCUCAUUCCACAGUGAGCUAGGUUCACAGGCCCAAAGAAAACAAAAGGUCCAUAUGUUCUGGCUGAACUAGUAGUCAGCUCUGAGAACACAGAGGCUUUUCAAUGACCUUUCCACAGCAGUGAGUCCAAGAACUAGAAUACAAAAUCCCCGACUCAUGAUGUUAGCUAACCAUCAGCUUUUGUUCUCUUUACUUCUUAGUUUUCCUCCCCACUCUGGGAUUUUUUGGUUGGACUUUUUCCUACUGGUGGGUUUUUUAGUGAGCUUAUGCUCACCAUGUGACCAACCAGAAUCCUCCACAUACAUUCAAAUCAACCAACCAUGCUCAUCCCAACUGAAGGUCUAAAUUAUAUCUGGGCAAGUGUAAAAAUCAGCCCAUUUCUGGGCUGUUAAAGAACCUCCCUGAUCCAGAAUAUUAUUUGGGUAACUCAUUUUUGAGUCCCCUUCCAGAUUUUGGCAGCUAUAAGUUUAUUUCUCAAGAAACUUUGUCUGCUGGCCCAUCUUUUACUCUCUGUGGUUAUCAUUCUUGCUUUAACAUAGGAGACAGUCAGUAGAUCAGGGUAGUGCCAUGUAGUCAAACAUAUCCAUGCUCCUUUAGCUACAGACACAGAAAGUCUUACUAACUGGAAAGGAUAAAGUCAAUAAAUAUUCUUCUGUUUGUUUAUGUUAAGCUUUGCCAUCAAGGACCCAUGAGAGAGAUUUUGAUUCCAGAAGAGCAGCUAGAUGCACCAGCCUCUUUUGUCAUUGUUGCCACCAAAUACCCUGCAACUUAAGAAUCGUCUGUUUGCUGGCAUGAUGAGUGGGUAGGAGGGAUGCUGCCAGAAGACGAAAAAAGAAAUGGGAAGAAAAGCUGUGGAACACAUGUACCGAGAACAAGGAAGCAUUUUGCAAGGAACAACUCUGUGAUACCUUCCGGAACUAGAUGAUCAUUCUGAAAGAAUAAUUCCAUCUUUAAUUUCAAGGAUGCUUUAAUAAUGGGACUGAUUUAAGCAGCUAAAUUUGGAAAACUGAAAAUUCAAGAAGACUGUCUAUCACAUGUUCCUGUUUACAUGAAUAUUUUUAAAUACUGAAGGAUCUUUCUACCAAGACUGAUUUUGUAAUUUUCC